Molecule: ribosomal RNA, 460 nt
Filed under: uncultured bacterium
Lineage: Bacteria
Description: partial 16S ribosomal RNA
Rfam family: Bacterial small subunit ribosomal RNA
Source: RNAcentral
CCUACGGGAGGCUGCAGUGAGGAAUAUUGGUCAAUGGACGAGAGUCUGACCCAGCCAAGUAGCGUGAAGGAUGACUGCCCUAUGGGUUGUAAACUUCUUUUAUCUGGGAAUAAAACGUUCCACGUGUGGGAUUUUGUAUGUACCAUAUGAAUAAGGAUCGGCUAACUCCGUGCCAGCAGCCGCGGUAAUACGGAGGGUCCGAGCAUUAUCCGGAUUUAUUGGGUUUAAAGGGAGCGUAUGGGGAUUGUUAAGUCAGUUGUGAAAGUUUGGGGCUCAACCGUAAAAUUGCAGUUGAAACUGGCAGUCUUGAGUACAGGAGAGGUGGGCGGAAUUCGUGGUGUAGCGGUGAAAUGCGUAGAUAUCACGAAGAACUCCGAUUGCGAAGGCAGUUCACUGGACUGCAACUGACACUGAGGCUCGAAAGUGUGGGUAUCAAACAGGAUUAGAUACCCGAGUAGUC